RNAcentral lists this ribosomal RNA (253 nucleotides) under uncultured Alphaproteobacteria bacterium. RNAcentral's name for it is "partial 16S ribosomal RNA". It matches the Rfam family "Bacterial small subunit ribosomal RNA", at positions 524 to 776 of the family's 1533-position model. The record is from RNAcentral. Lineage: Bacteria; Pseudomonadati; Pseudomonadota; Alphaproteobacteria.
UACGAAGGGGGCUAGCGUUGUUCGGAAUUACUGGGCGUAAAGCGCACGUAGGCGGAUAUUUAAGUCGGGGGUGAAAUCCCGGGGCUCAACCCCGGAACGGCCUUCGAUACUGGGUAUCUUGAGUCCGGAAGAGGUGAGUGGAAUUGCGAGUGUAGAGGUGAAAUUCGUAGAUAUUCGCAGGAACACCAGUGGCGAAGGCGGCUCACUGGUCCGGAACUGACGCUGAGGUGCGAAAGCGUGGGGAGCAAACAGG